RNAcentral lists this ribosomal RNA (389 nucleotides) under uncultured bacterium. RNAcentral describes it as "bacterial SSU rRNA". It matches the Rfam family "Bacterial small subunit ribosomal RNA", at positions 29 to 420 of the family's 1533-position model. The record is from RNAcentral.
AUUGAACGCUGGCGGCGUGCUUAACACAUGCAAGUCGAGCGGUAACAGGCGUAGCAAUACGUGCUGACGAGCGGCGAACGGGUGCGUAAUACAUGGGAAUCUGCCUAGUAGUGGGGAAUAACCCGGCGAAAGCCGGGCUAAUGCCGCAUACGAUCCACGGAUGAAAGCGGGGGACCUUCGGCCUCGCGCUAUUAGAUGAGCCCAUGUCGGAUUAGCUAGNGGUGAGGUAACGGCUCACCAAGGCGACGAUCCGUAGCUGGUCUGAGAGGACGGCCAGCCACACUGGGACUGAGACACGGCCCAGACUCCUACGGGAGGCAGCAGNGGGAAUCUUGCGCAAUGGGCGAAAGCCUGACGCAGCGACGCCGCGUGAGGGAUGACGGCCUGGU